AAACUGUCCAUUUAUAAACUUUCAUGAAAGGUUAAAAAGUAAAGAAAAGUUAGGAAUAAUGAAAGGAUAAAAAAAGAAACUAUUCAUGCAAUGUUAAAAUUCAUCCCUUCGUUUUUAUUUGACCUCCUUACUAGAUAAGUUAUAGAGAGAAACAAAAAUUUUAUAAAUAUCAAAAUUGUAAGUUAUAAAAAAUAUGGCUGAAGUUUUAAAAAAUUUACCUUAUAAAGAUAUAAAACAUCACUCUAGUUCUUGUACAUGCAAGGUAUAAAAACUAUGGCUGAAAUUUUCAAAUUUUUGUAUACUUUGAGUCUAUAUUUUUUCUUAUUUCUUUCAGUAGCGACGGUACAGACAGCGACACAGGUUGUUGGUAAGCCAUUUUUUUCUUUAAAAAAUUCUUUAAUUUGUAAUUUGCACAAAAUCCUUGUUAUAAUAUCACAUAAGUUGUCAUUUAACUAUUGUAUCUGAGGCUUAUAAUUUUAUAUAUUUUUUCUAUUUCUAAUUUUAUGUACCCUGUAUUUUUUUUUUAUAUUCUUAGAUGAUGAUAUGGAAACAUAGAAUAUGAUUCUAAUAGUCUUAUUCUCUCUAAAAUUUUGAAGGUUUCUGGUUGACAUCCAAUUUGUGUAUAUCACACAAUAUUUUAAACAAUCCACCUACAUGUAAGAAUAACUUUAUUGGUUAAGUUAAAAGAUAAUUUUUAUUUUACUUCAAAGCUUUAAGUUUUAUGUAAGAAUAUAUUUUAUUUGAGUUUGUUAAGAUCGUGAGUUAACUCGUAGAAUCAGAUGAUUCCACAAAUCUAGAUAUAAAUUUUGAGUUGAAUCAAAUGUAAAUUCGAAUAGAGUAAACUCGGUAAGUCAUCAAGUUUAUUUUGUUGAAUUUGUAUUAUGCGCAAGAGAAAACUUGGUAGACCUCUAAGAAAACUCAAAUAAACUAAAAAUAUGUAAAUAAUUUGUUUUAUCUUUGUCUUAGUUUUCACAAUCCUUUAUUUUAUUAUUUAUGUUUGAGUUUAAGCUUUUAAGUAUUGUAAAAUUGAAAGGUUCAACCAUACAAGAAAAAUUGAUGUUUAAGACAAAGAUUAAUGUCAACCAAGAUAAAUGGACACAAAUAAAAUUAAUUUGUAGCAACAAGUGUUAGCGAAUCCGCACGAGCAAGAAUAAAAUAAAAGACAAAUACACAUAUAAUUUAUUUAUCCAUUUCAAUCAAAUGAUCUACUAUAGGAUAGGAGUAGCUCUCUGAAUCACUAUACUUCAAGAGUUUUACUAGAGAUUAUAAGAUGAGUUACGAGAAAAUAUCAUUCCAAAUUCAAAAGAAUAUAUCAUAGUUUUUACCUAAGUGUUUCUCAAUCUCUCAUACUCUCAAUAUA
Molecule: long non-coding RNA, 1360 nt
Filed under: Lathyrus oleraceus (garden pea)
Lineage: Eukaryota; Viridiplantae; Streptophyta; Magnoliopsida; Fabales; Fabaceae
Description: Pisum sativum (pea) long non-coding RNA (PSAT_LNC004112)
Source: RNAcentral